GAUGAACGCUGGCGGCGUGCCUAAUACAUGCAAGUCGAGCGAACAGAUAAGGAGCUUGCUCCUUUGACGUUAGCGGCGGACGGGUGAGUAACACGUGGGUAACCUACCUAUAAGACUGGAAUAACUCCGGGAAACCGGGGCUAAUGCCGGAUAACAUUUAGAACCGCAUGGUUCUAAAGUGAAAGAUGGUUUUGCUAUCACUUAUAGAUGGACCCGCGCCGUAUUAGCUAGUUGGUAAGGUAACGGCUUACCAAGGCAACGAUACGUAGCCGACCUGAGAGGGUGAUCGGCCACACUGGAACUGAGACACGGUCCAGACUCCUACGGGAGGCAGCAGUAGGGAAUCUUCCGCAAUGGGCGAAAGCCUGACGGAGCAACGCCGCGUGAGUGAUGAAGGUCUUCGGAUCGUAAAACUCUGUUAUUAGGGAAGAACAAAUGUGUAAGUAACUGUGCACGUCUUGACGGUACCUAAUCAGAAAGCCACGGCUAACUACGUA
RNAcentral lists this ribosomal RNA (497 nucleotides) under uncultured bacterium. RNAcentral describes it as "partial 16S ribosomal RNA". It matches the Rfam family "Bacterial small subunit ribosomal RNA", at positions 28 to 507 of the family's 1533-position model. The record is from RNAcentral.